GGUUCUAAAAGGGUUCUAAAUUUAACAUCCGGUUCCAGCGAACCAGUGUGAACUGGCUCCAGCUCACCACUGCCUUUACAUUGCUGUUC
Dermochelys coriacea (leatherback sea turtle) is the source of this 89-nucleotide long non-coding RNA. RefSeq lists it as uncharacterized. NCBI's taxonomy places the organism in Eukaryota, Metazoa, Chordata, Testudines, Dermochelyidae. The transcript is spliced from 3 exons. The record is from RefSeq and is a predicted model, not a curated record.